This 229-nucleotide ribosomal RNA is filed under the name uncultured bacterium. RNAcentral's name for it is "partial 16S ribosomal RNA". It matches the Rfam family "Bacterial small subunit ribosomal RNA", at positions 568 to 796 of the family's 1533-position model. The record is from RNAcentral.
UACGUAGGCGGAUUAAUAAGUCAGUGGUGAAAUCCCGAAGCUCAACUUCGGAACUGCCAUUGAAACUGUUGAUCUUGAAUUUGGUUGAAGUGGGCGGAAUAUGACAUGUAGCGGUGAAAUGCAUAGAUAUGUCAUGGAACACCGAUAGUGAAGACAGCUCACUAAACCAAUAUUGACGCUGAGGUACGAAAGCAUGGGUAGCGAACAGGAUUAGAUACCCUGGUAGUCC